GGGGCAGGGAGGGGGGGCAUGGAGGCAGCCCGGAGCAGCCGAUGCUACUGCGAGAAUGGACUGAGAAGAUCCCACCAUCGCCUCUGGAUGUAGCCGACACGGAAGAGCCACGGAAGGGAUUCUCCUCCUCCUCCUUCCUCCAAGCAUUGUCCAUCUUGGGCGCCGGCGAGGAAGGGUCUCUGGGGGGACGAGGAAGCCGAUGGAUGUGGGGGGAGGGAGGGAAAGGGGUGGGAAUGACAUCACCCUGUGNGGAAGGGUCUCUGGGGGGACGAGGAAGCCGAUGGAUGUGGGGGGAGGGAGGGAAAGGGGUGGGAAUGACAUCACCCUGUGAAUGAUGACAUCACAAGGCCCUCGUGGGGGUCAUCACUAUGGGCCGCAGAAGUCCUCGACUUACGACGGGUCACUUAAGCGAGAGUUCAGAGGUAGAAGUGACUUUGAGGGUGGGGGUUGGACUAGAUGACCUACAGGAUCCCUUCCAAUUUUGUUAAUCUGUAAACCGGGAAACUCCCCCCCUCAGGGGUCACUUAAGAGUUCAGAGGUAGGACUGACUAUGAAAGUGGGGAUCAGACUAGAUGGCCUACAAGACCCCAACGCGGUAAACGCGGUAAAUCUGUAAAUUGGACACACAUCCCUGGGUCAUUUAAGCAAGAGUUCAGAGGUAGGACCAACAAAGUGGGGAUCAGACUAGAUGACCUACAAGGUCUCUUCCAACUUGGUAAAUCUGUAAACCAGAAGAUUCGCCCCCACGAGCCACUUAAACAAGAAUUCAGAGGUAGGACUGACUGUUAAAGUGGGGGUCAGACUAGACGACCUACAUUAAUCUGUAAACCAGACACCCCACACAUACACAAACACAAAAGUUACAGGUAGAGUCCUCGGCUUAUGGCCAGAAUUGAGCCCUGAAUUUCUGGGGUUCCGCAGGGCAAUUUUUUUUCAUGUAACCCAGGAUACCACAGAUUGUCAUAAGUACACGUGCCAGUGGCCAAGCGUCUGAAUCCACGGUCGUAAGUGUGAAAAAUGGUCACAUUUUCAAGACGGGUCACGUUGAACGGUCGUUGAAUGACCCGUUGUAACUCAAGGAGUAGCUGUAUUCCACAUUGGGCGGGGGGGACACGGGGGAAUAAAUCCAUGAGAGUUUAAAGGAUUCAGCUAGUCCUCGUUUUACGACCGUUCACUUAGAGACUGUCCAGAAUUACAAUGGACCUCCCGGGGGAUGUGGGGGGGAGGAUAGGGGCGUUCUUACAACCCAGUUCCAAGGUUUUGAUGUAUCCUGUCUACAAGUCCAGUUCUUAGAACCCAGCCUGUUUUUAUGGCCAUUUAUAGCCAUUUCAUAGCCAUUAGCCCCCCCCCCCAGUCAUCUGACUCGCUUAAUGACCAAAAACCGGCAUGUCCUUCUAGUUUUUGGGGUCAAAGCCUGCCCGGAGACAACUCUUGGCUGAUUGGACUCCCAUCUGUCAGAAAUUGUUGCAGAGGUUCUCCUGCUUGGGAGGAAGGAGGUUGGACUAGAUGACCUAGAGGGUCCCUUCCAGCUUCGUUAUUCUAUAUUCAAUAGAACAGAAGUUGCCUUUGGAAGUCAUGGGAGCUUCAUCCCUGGAGGCUUUCAAGAAGAGACUGGACUGCCUUCUGUUAGAACUGGUGCAGAGUCUCCCGCUUGGACGGGGCGGGGUUGGACUAGAUGACCUAUAAGGUCCCUUCCAGCUCUGAUUAUCUGUUAUCUGAACGAAUCAUAGUGGUGGCUGAACAGCUAUUGCAAAAAAACCAAAAAAAAAGGUCAAAAUCAGGUUGCUCUCAUGGGUCGAGCUGCUUUUUAUGACCGUUUUGACUUAUGACCAUGAUGGUUGGGUUCCAGGAUGGUUGUAAUUCGAGGACUACCUAUUGUGAAAUAAUCUUCCAGAUUCCCCAAAUGUUGCACUCCUGUGCAUAAUUAAUAUAAUUUUGAGGUGGGAUAUGCCUGUAAUUAAUGGGGUAUUUAUUGUAUCCCU
RNAcentral lists this long non-coding RNA (1982 nucleotides) under Laticauda laticaudata (blue-ringed sea krait). Its description in RNAcentral is "lncRNA (ENSLLTG00000005721.1)". Lineage: Eukaryota; Metazoa; Chordata; Lepidosauria; Squamata; Elapidae. The record is from RNAcentral.